Molecule: signal recognition particle RNA, 298 nt
Filed under: Aotus nancymaae (Ma's night monkey)
Lineage: Eukaryota; Metazoa; Chordata; Mammalia; Primates; Aotidae
Description: Metazoan signal recognition particle RNA (ENSANAG00000011834.1)
Rfam family: Metazoan signal recognition particle RNA
About the family: The signal recognition particle (SRP) is a universally conserved ribonucleoprotein. It is involved in the co-translational targeting of proteins to membranes. The eukaryotic SRP consists of a 300-nucleotide 7S RNA and six proteins: SRPs 72, 68, 54, 19, 14, and 9.
Source: RNAcentral
GUCGCAGUUUCUCGGGAGAUUGAGGAUCCCAGCUUCUCAGGGGGCUGAGGUGGGAGGAUCGCUUGAGCCCAGGAGUUCUGGGCUGUAGUGCGCUAUGCCGAUCGGGUGUCCGCACUAAGUUUGGCAUCAAUAUGGUGACCUCCCAGGAGUGGGGGACCACCAGGUUGCCUAAGGAGGGAUGAACCGGUCCAGGUCAGAAACGGAACAGGUCAAAACUCCCGUGCUGAUCAGUAGUGGGAUCACGCCUGUGAAUAGCCACUGCACUCCAGCCUGGGCAACAUAGUGAGACCCCAUCUCU